Molecule: unclassified non-coding RNA, 225 nt
Filed under: Hevea brasiliensis (rubber tree)
Lineage: Eukaryota; Viridiplantae; Streptophyta; Magnoliopsida; Malpighiales; Euphorbiaceae
Source: RNAcentral
UUGGGGCUCAGUGAUGCAGAAUGUGAAGCGGCCGUCGUGGCUGGAAAUGUGCCUGAGGCCCCUCCUGUGCCGCCUAAGCCCGCUGCACCGGCUGGAACUCCUGUGGUUCCUUCGCUUCCACUUAGCAGGCGUCCUCGUCGCAAUCGCAAGUCACCUGCAAUGAGAGCAUCAUUCCAGGAAACUAAUUUAUCGCCUGCAAAUUUUGUCUAUCCACUUUUUAUUCAU